Drosophila mojavensis is the source of this 635-nucleotide long non-coding RNA. RefSeq lists it as uncharacterized. The transcript has 2 exons. The record is from RefSeq and is a predicted model, not a curated record. Lineage: Eukaryota; Metazoa; Arthropoda; Insecta; Diptera; Drosophilidae.
AUUUAAGAAAAAAACAAAAAAAUAUUCAUAUUAAUUUAUUUAUUACGAACGGAAAUGCGGCAGAAAAUUGUUUUGAAAAUUGUGCACCAAAUAUUUGCUGCCUAACAACAAAAGUUUCCUCAACUUAACUGUUUUUUAAUUUAUUAUUUAAGUUUAGUUCACAUUAAAACAAAAAUACAUAAACAAGAUAAAUAUCGCCCAAGGCCGGCAAACAAAAUACACAAAAAGUCGAAAUAAAAACAAAAAUUAUUACAGUGCACAAAGUGUGUGCCUACAUGAGUGUGUGUGUGUGUGUGCGAACGUAUGUGUGUGUGUAUUUGACAAGUGAUUGAAGGUCUCCAAUGUCACUGUGAAAAUGUCUCCACACAGCAAAAACGUUCACAAAAUCGAAAAAAGGCGAAUGCAACAUUGCCACAUGCAACAAAAUGCAAUUUUUGAACAUUUAACUAACUAAAACAAAGUUGCGAAAAUCCAAUUCAAAAAUAAACAACAACAAAAUAUUUCAAAAAUGAACUGAAAAGUAAAAUUUAAAACCUAAACAAACUUUAAGCAAAUGCAAAAUUGGCAAAUUAUAGAUUUGGGCUAAAAAGAAGAAAAAAAAAUUAAAAACAAAAAAAAACUUUUUUGAAAAAAAA